This is a long non-coding RNA of Bos taurus (domestic cattle), 713 nucleotides long. NCBI's taxonomy places the organism in Eukaryota, Metazoa, Chordata, Mammalia, Artiodactyla, Bovidae. The record is from Ensembl.
AGAUCUGGGUAGAUCUAAGUGAAACUAAUUAGCUGUCAGCUGUAUUGCAUCUGGAGAUCAAAUAUAAACUGUUGGCAUCAAAAACUGUUCCGGUCCCUGUCAUUUCCGUUCUCCUGGUACCACGCCAUCCUUUGUUGCACGGGCUCAAUGUGUUUCUCCACGCUGACAGCGAUCCAGCAGCCCGCCAAGCGUGGAAUCCCAAGUCCUCUGCUAUCGGCAAUUGUAGCGUCCCUUCAUUUCGUGCCAGAAAGGCAGGAGGUGGAGAAUCAGCUGGAAUUGGCUCUUUGGCUUCUGUUGCGGUUUACCCAUCUUUCUCAUAUCCCAUUUUCAUGAGAUGGCACAGUCUACCACGUUCUGGAAACUCAGUGAGGGCCUGAGUCCUGCCUCCUCUGCCAGUGAGCUCGGCUUGCAGAAGGAAGGGUGGGCAGCCAGCCCUAUUUUACACCAUGAGAUGGAGGGUUGAUCUCAGCCGUGUUUAAAAUUUUAUACUGUUCCCACCCAGAUCUUUCCAUGCAUGGCACAUCCUUCAACAGACACUCCACUGUGGCUCAUAAAAACGACUCAUCCUUAUAUCCUGCUCUCAUGCUGCAGACUGGGAAAAACAAAUCUGUUCUAGAACUUCCCAAGACCAGGAGGGAAGCUGCCCCAGCGGAAUGCUGCGGUAGGUCCAGAUGCAAGCAAAAGAGCAUCCGAGUCCCUGCAGAUGACGCAGU